UACGGAGGGUGCAAGCGUUACUCGGAAUUACUGGGCGUAAAGCGUCUGUAGGUGUUCUCCCACGUCUGGUGUAAAAGCCCGAUGCCCAACAUCGGGUACGUGCCGGAAACGAGGAGAAUGGAGCCACUCAGAGGCAUCUGGAAUGUCGUGUGUAGGGGUAAAAUCCGUUGAUCCACGAUGGAACGCCAAAAGCGAAGGCAGGAUGCUGGGGGUGUGCUGACACUCAGAGACGAAAGCGUGGGGAGCAAAGGGG
Molecule: ribosomal RNA, 253 nt
Filed under: uncultured bacterium
Lineage: Bacteria
Description: partial 16S ribosomal RNA
Rfam family: Bacterial small subunit ribosomal RNA
Source: RNAcentral